Lycium barbarum (goji berry) is the source of this 1824-nucleotide long non-coding RNA. RefSeq lists it as uncharacterized. The record is from RefSeq and is a predicted model, not a curated record. NCBI's taxonomy places the organism in Eukaryota, Viridiplantae, Streptophyta, Magnoliopsida, Solanales, Solanaceae. The transcript has 8 exons.
GUGUUGAAUAAUUGCGAAGAAGUAGAAUCUUUUCUUCAAGAGCAUAAAGAAGAGUUGGUGAAACAAGAUGUUGGGAAUAUAGAAGAGAAACACAGAGAACAAUUUCCUUUAUGGUUUAAAAGGAAAAUUUUGAAAUUAUAUAAUAAGGACAAGUCAAUGUCUAUCAAGAAAUUAUAUCCUUUGGCAAUGGAAUCUGAUGUGCGUGGAAGAAAACAUACUGGCUGUGUUAUAAAUGGUGUUAGGUAUCUUAUUCAACGACGCGAUGAAUUACGUAAAAGUCAGAAUUGUGGUAUAGUUGUUGCAGGCUAUCAUGAAAAUGAGUUGAUUGAUUUUUAUGGUAUUAUAACUGACAUCAUUGAGUUAGAGUAUGUUGAUGAGAAUCGAGUUUUUCUAUUUAAAUGCAAGUGGUUUGAUCUUCGCAAGAAAAUAGGGAUGCAAAAAGAUAAACAUUUUACGAGCAUGUGUUAAAAGAUUUUGGUAUGAACAUGAUUCUUUCGUACUAGCUACUCAAGCAAAACAAGUAUUUUACAUUGAUGACCCAAAAUUGGGGGAAAAUUGGCGAAUUGUGCUCAAAUUUCAAGAUAGACACUUAUAUGAUGUCCCGGAGAAGGAAAAUUCAGAGACAGAAAGUGAUGAGUCGCAUAUUACAAAUAAUGAUGUGUAUCAAGACAUGUCACUUGAAAGUAAUUCAAUUGUCAAUGAUACGUUGGAUAUGUUGAGUAAACUACAUAGAGAUGAUGUUGAACCGAUUACCCUGGAUACAAAUGUAAUUGAAUUGGAGGCUCAAACAGAACCAGAAGUUGAAGUUGAUUAUAUCGAAGAAGAUUCUGACCAAGAGGAUGACACUAUGGUAGAGUACAUAAGUGAUAAUGAGGAGAAUGAAGGUAAUAAUAGUACUAAUGAUGAUGAAGCUGAUAGCACAGGUGAUGGCGACGACAUUGGCUUGUGAUGUAAUCUCAUAAUAGUAAGGUUUAAGGGGUUGAAGUUGGUUACAAUAGUGCAAAGCUUUUCUUCGUUAAAAUAGUGCAAAAGUUUUCUUGCUUAAAACAGUGCAAAGUUCUCUGCCAGUUACAUGGAGUGCAGGCACAAAGAAGUCCCAAAGUGUUUUGUGGUUCAGAUGGUUUGCCUUAUUUUGGGUCCAGGAGUUCUUAUUUUAUACUAGAAUUGGGACAAGACACGUGAGGCUAGUUAAAACUGAAAUUAUGUGAUGAAAUGCUGGGCCUCAAUCAUCCACAUUGUUGACCAUAUUGAUCUUGAUGCUUGCAGUGUUCUCCUCAAGCCACUUUAUGAAACGUCCAAGAUCCUUGCUCAGAAAAUGAUAAUGGCUGUAAGAAAUUUCUUAUAUUUGUGCCUCAGCAACUGGCUAUUUUAAUAAGUCAACUUACCUUAAGAUAUUUGUGCAGGCCUUCCGAUACAUAAGGGAGAUAGCCCAAGAAGCCAAUAGAGAAAUCCAAUAUGCUGGAGGUCGGCAACCUGCUGUGUUGAGGGCAUUUAGUCAGAGAUUAUGCAGGGGAUUCAUAAUGCGGUUAGUGGAUUUAUUGAUGAUGGUUGGACAACUAUGGGUAGUAAUGGUGUGGAGGAUGUAACAAGUGCUGUAAACUCAUCGCCAAGUAAAUUCCUUGAUGCACAAUAGAAGAUCACCAAAAGAUUCAUUCCACUGGAGCUGAAAUCAACUAGAUUAUCACAUGAAAAGCAGGGCCGCUUGAAGAUUGCGGACUUUUGGUGGUCUGUACAAUCAAGAAGCAACAAACAUACAAUGUGCGGAACUCUGGACUAUCUAGCACCAGAAAUGGUGGAGAACAAACCUCAUGAUUAUGCAGUUGA